Styela clava is the source of this 469-nucleotide non-coding RNA. NCBI's taxonomy places the organism in Eukaryota, Metazoa, Chordata, Ascidiacea, Stolidobranchia, Styelidae. The record is from RefSeq and is a predicted model, not a curated record.
UUCAGAUGAAUCUUAAGAUAGUGUUUGUCUUGUUCAUCUGCCUUUGUAUCGUGCAUGCUCACUAUGGGCGGUAUGGAAACCAAAGGAGACGCAGAUAUCGUGUGCCUGUCAGAAGAUACGGGGUGAGGAGAUACGGUGUGAGAAGGUACGGACACCGUCGCUGCUGUCACAGAUAUGUCUUCAGACGAUUCAGGAUCUGCCCGAGACCGCAUAGACGAUAUGGGGGUCGCAGAUAUGGACGUAGACGUUGCAGGACCCGUGUCAGAACUACUCGUGCUGUCAUAUAUACUACCAGGCCUACGACAAAGACUACAACAACGACUAUCAAGCCUGUUCCGACCACCACAACUACCACGCUUAGACCGAAUACAACUACCACCACUACCACACCCAAACCAACUACCACGACCACUACGCUUAGACCAUAUACAACUACCACCUCUACGACCACCCCCAAACCAACUACCAC